RNAcentral lists this unclassified non-coding RNA (199 nucleotides) under Mycobacteroides abscessus. RNAcentral's name for it is "partial 16S-23S ribosomal RNA intergenic spacer". The record is from RNAcentral. Lineage: Bacteria; Bacillati; Actinomycetota; Actinomycetes; Mycobacteriales; Mycobacteriaceae.
AAGUAAGCAUCUGUAGUGGGUAUCUACUUGGUGAAUAUGUUUUGUAAAUCCUGUCCACCCCCGUGGAUGGGUAGUCAUGCAAAACGUCGGACUGUCAUAAAAAUUGAAACGCUGGCACACUGUUGGGUCCUGAGGCAACACGUUGUGUUGUCACCCUGCUUGGUGGUGGGGUGUGGACUUUGACUUCGUGUUUGAUUUG